This 736-nucleotide ribosomal RNA is filed under the name uncultured bacterium. RNAcentral describes it as "bacterial SSU rRNA". It matches the Rfam family "Bacterial small subunit ribosomal RNA", at positions 28 to 776 of the family's 1533-position model. The record is from RNAcentral.
AGUGAACGCUGGCGGCGUGCCUAACACAUGCAAGUCGAACGAGAACGGAUUUAAGCUUGCUUAAAUUGUCAGCUAAGUGGCGCACGGGUGAGUAAUGUAUAGUUAACCUGCCUUUAAGAAAGGGAUAACAAUUAGAAAUGAUUGCUAAUACCUUAUAUGCCUUUUAAUCAUAAGAUUGUAAAGGGAAAUGCUUUAGUGCUUGAAGAUGGGACUGUAUCGUAUCAGAUAGUUGGUGGGGUAAUGGCCUACCAAGUCAAUGACGCUUAACUGGUUUGAGAGGAUGAUCAGUCACACUGGAACUGAGACACGGUCCAGACUCCUACGGGAGGCAGCAGUGGGGAGUAUUGCACAAUGGAGGGAACUCUGAUGCAGCAACGCCGCGUGGAGGAUGACACAUUUCGGUGCGUAAACUCCUUUUAUAUAGGAAGAUAAUGACGGUACUAUAUGAAUAAGCACCGGCUAACUCCGUGCCAGCAGCCGCGGUAAUACGGAGGGUGCAAGCGUUACUCGGAAUCACUGGGCGUAAAGAGCAUGUAGGCGGAUUAAUAAGUUUGAAGUGAAUUCCUAUAGGUUAACUAUAGAACUGCUUUGAAAACUGUUAAUCUAGAAUAUGGGAGAGGUAGAUGGAAUUUCUGGUGUAGGGGUAAAAUCCGUAAGAUCAGAACGAAUACCGAUUGCGAAGCGAUCUACUGGAACAUUAUUGACGCUCGAUGCGAAAGCGUGGGGAGCAAACAGG